Molecule: transfer RNA, 66 nt
Filed under: Cylas formicarius (sweet potato weevil)
Lineage: Eukaryota; Metazoa; Arthropoda; Insecta; Coleoptera; Brentidae
Description: tRNA-His
Source: RNAcentral
ACUUAAAUAUUUUAUAUAAAUAAAAUAUUAAUUUGUGGAAUUAAAGAAAUGGAAACAUUUUAAGUA